RNAcentral lists this ribosomal RNA (253 nucleotides) under uncultured bacterium. RNAcentral describes it as "partial 16S ribosomal RNA". It matches the Rfam family "Bacterial small subunit ribosomal RNA", at positions 524 to 776 of the family's 1533-position model. The record is from RNAcentral.
UACGUAGGGGGCAAGCGUUGUCCGGAAUCAUUGGGCGUAAAGCGCGUGUAGGCGGCUCGAUAAGUCCGCUCUGAAAGUCCGGGGCUCAACCCCGGGAGGCGGGUGGAUACUGUCGGGCUAGAGUCCGGAAGGGGCGAGUGGAAUUCCUGGUGUAGCGGUGAAAUGCGCAGAUAUCAGGAGGAACACCAAUGGCGAAGGCAGCUCGCUGGGACGGUACUGACGCUGAGACGCGAAAGCGUGGGGAGCAAACAGG